RNAcentral lists this ribosomal RNA (424 nucleotides) under uncultured Bacteroides sp. RNAcentral's name for it is "bacterial SSU rRNA". It matches the Rfam family "Bacterial small subunit ribosomal RNA", at positions 338 to 754 of the family's 1533-position model. The record is from RNAcentral. Lineage: Bacteria; Pseudomonadati; Bacteroidota; Bacteroidia; Bacteroidales; Bacteroidaceae.
CCUACGGGAGGCAGCAGUGGGGAAUAUUGGACAAUGGACGAAAGUCUGAUGGAGCAACGCCGCGUGAAUGAAGAAGGCCUUCGGGUCGUAAAAUUCUGUUGUCAGAGAAGAACGUGCGUGAGAGUAACUGUUCACGUAUUGACGGUAUCUGACCAGAAAGCCACGGCUAACUACGUGCCAGCAGCCGCGGUAAUACGUAGGUGGCGAGCGUUGUCCGGAUUUAUUGGGCGUAAAGCGUGCGCAGGCGGUUCUGUAAGACAGAUGUGAAAUCCCCGGGCUCAACCUGGGAAUUGCAUUUGUGACUGCAGGACUAGAGUUCAUCAGAGGGGGGUGGAAUUCCAAGUGUAGCAGUGAAAUGCGUAGAUAUUUGGAAGAACACCAAUGGCGAAGGCGGCUUUCUGGACUGUAACUGACGCUGAGGCUC